UCUUUCUUUUCUUUCUUUCUUUUAUAGGUUCACACCACCACAUCCACCUAAUUCCUUCCUUCCUUCCUUCCUUCCUUCCUUCCUUCCUGCCUGCCUGCCUGCCUGCCUUCCUUCCUUCUUUCUUUCCUUUCUUCUGUCUUCUUUCUUUCUGAGAUGGUUUCUGGCUACAUUGCCUAGGCUUGUCUUGAACUCUUGACUUUAAGCAAUCCUCCCACCAUUACUUUCCAAAGCACUGGGACUCCAGCUGUGAGCCACUGCACCUGGCCCAUUGCUAACUUUAAUCCUCAGACCCCAUUUAAGUUUUGCUGAUCAUCCCAAUUAUACACUUUAUAACAAAAGGUUCCAGUUCAAAAUCACACAGCACAUUUAGUUGUCAUUUUAGUUUCCUUCAGUCUAGAAGAAGUCCUCAGUUUUGUAUUGACUUUUACAAUAUUGACACUUUUCAAAGGUUAGUUGUUUGGUAAAAUGUCAUUUAAUUUGGGGUUGUCUGAUAUUUCUUCAUGAUUACACUCAGGUGAUGCAUCUUUGAUAGGUGUGAUGGUUAAUGGUGGGUGUUAACUUGACUAGAUUAAGGGAUACCUAGAUAGCUGGUAAAACAUUAUUUUUGUGUGUGUUUGUGUGAGGGAAAGAUUUGUCCCCAAUAUGGGUGGGCACCAGACAAUCAUCUGGGGGCUCACCAGAUAGAACAAAAAGGCAGAGGAAAGGUGAAUUGAGCCUCUCUACUGGAGCUGGGACAUCCUUAUUCUCCUGCCCUUGGACGGCAGAACUCUAGGCUUUCCAGCCUUUGGACUCUGAUUUGCACCAGUGGCUGACUGGGCUCUCAGGCCUUCAAACUCAGACUGAGAAUUAGACCAUCAGCUUCAACACUCUGUGCUGGGAAGCUCCCACACCUGGAUGUUUUCCUUACUCUCUUUGAGCUUUGGCAGCCCACAGCAGAUUGCCCCAUUUUGGUGGACACUCUUCUUAUUCAGCUAGGGUUUUAAAACCCCUGUGGGGCAGCCAUCCUAGGGAAUCUCUGCUCUAUCUGAGCUCUGACAUUCUGCUCUGGGCCACGGUGCCUCUCCCCUUUGGGGUCAAAUGCUUCCCUUACUCUGCCUCAGUUCGUGGGUUUAGGACUGCACUAUUUGAAGGAAAAGGAAGGAAAGCGAAAAGGGGAAGGAAAAAGAGGAAAAGAAGAUAGAUCUAUUUUAAAUUAUGAAAAUGGGAAGAAAAACAAUAUAUAUUUUGUAUUUGUUUUCUAUACUAAUGAGAAAUGGAGCCUCUAGGUCUCUUAAAAGACUAAAAUAUUAAGCAUGUUUUUAAACUUUACAUUUUUUUUUUCCUUAGGGGACUAAUGUAAUGCUUAAUAAUUAGGCUCAGAUUCCUUGUUUGUAUACUUAUUUGGGGCCAGAAGGGAAGUAUAUUUAAUUAUACAAUCUUCCCUUUUUUUUUAAUAUGUCCAAAAGCAUUGGAAAAUAUUGGGAAUUAACAAUUAUUGGUGAAGAGACUAGACUGUAAAGCUAUUGUAUUUUAAAAUAAAGGUCAGCAUUGCUCUUUAAUUAUUUCAUUCAAUUUUGCCCCAAAGGCAUUUAUCCUUGUUGUUAUCCAAUGAAUUCCACUGUAAACCCUAUUACUUUAAUCCAGAUAAAGUCACAAGUUAUUUCUGACUCCAUUUUGUGGUUCUAUGGAGGUAAUUACUACCAAGUGAUCAGUGAUUGAGUCUGAAAAAAUGUAUUUAAUUAUUAUUAAUUGAAUAACCACUGAAUUAAUAAAACUGUCUUGGGACAUUAUAUUGGAAAUUAAUUGAAUAUAAUAUGUCGAGCUUCAAGAAGUUAUGCCCUGAGGGAGAUAAUGGAGGAGAAACAAUCUUUUCCAUGUAGGUGAAAGACACUUAAUAAAUGCUCAUUAAAUUAAAUGUUUUCCUAACAUUUGGAAGCUGGGGUCACUCAUGGGAGAUAAAUGACAAUUUCAUUUAUCUUUAGUUAGAUAAAUGAAAUUCUUAAGUUAGAAAGUUCUUAAUUUAUAAUUCUUGUCAUGCAAAUUCUUAAGUUAGAAAAUCCAGUGACUUGUCAGAUUUUAAAUAUCUAAAUAGUAAGCUGGAUUUAAAAUAAUCAAUCUAUUAGUUGAUUAUUUACUUUCUUAUGUAAAAUAUAGUAAUGAGGUCAGGUUAAAUUAAGGUAAAUAAUGUAAUGUUAACAGCUUAAAAAUCUCCACAAUACCAUCCCUUUCUUUUUCUUUUAAAAUGUAAGGUGUCAAGUAAUUUCUUAAAUAAUAAUAUAGAAUUAUAUAUAGCUUUUCUGUCUCUGACUAGCUUGACGUUGCAUUGUUCCAUGAUUUCAGCUUAUAAUUCUUACUAACCAUAAUGUGGAAGAAUUGCAGGGCCUUAAUGCAAGCCAUGAUUCUGGAAUUACCUCAUAAAUUUACAAAAAAAAAAAAAAAAAAAAAAAGAAGUGGAUGUUUUGCGCUUGGUAGUGUAAAGAAAGGGUUUGAAGAAGUUGUCACAGUAAGUACUUCUGCAGAAUUCACAGAAUCCAGGAAGUUAAAAUCUCCCACUGAAAGAAGAGAUGACCGUAAUAGCCAACAAUACAUUUAUUGAUUCAGCAUGACCUUAAAAAUGCAUUUCACUUCUUCGCUAAAUGCAAGUGUGUAUUUGUUAAAAACAUUAAACAAAGUCUGCAUAUAGCUUCAAGGAUUCAAUAAUAGUAAAGAGCAUCAAAUAACAGAGUCAAAAGAAACAAACUGAAGGAAACUGUGAGCAAAGAUGAAAAGAGGAAGGUCUCUGGAAACAGUCAAGAAGAAAGAUGACUGACCAUUGAAUGAGAUUCCCAUUCAAGUUCUGAGAAGACAGAAAAGCAAUAAAGUGAUGAGUCAAUAGGAAAAGUACUUUGCUAAGAGGCAAGAACAACACAUUUGCUUUCAGAAGUGAAUAAUCCUGAGACUUGAAGAAUAUAUUUUGAUUUCUAUCCUUCAUUUAUUUUUGUUCAAAUUUUUGUGUCUGAUAACAGCUUAGAGGACUUUGGGAACUACUGCUUUAUGUCCAUAUUUUAAGGCAGUCAUUUACAACACCCCUUUAAGUCCCUGUCCUCCUUCCAUUCCCCACCCAACCUCUGGACCAUUUCCUAACAGACUCCAUUGUGAAAUUAUUUGAACUAAAAAAAGCUUGCCUGAGGAAACAGCAUUCUUUUAAAUUUAUGGAGCUUAAGGAUCUUAAACAGGUAAUUUUUCGAAGCAGUAAACUUGGUUAGGAGGGAAGAAAGGGCUGCCUUCCGGAAGGCUAGUUUGAGUUAAAUUCAGAUUCAGAAAAAUAACACUUUUGGGCUCAUUUGCUAACAAUUCAACAGCAGUUUAGGAGAUUUAAAAAGGAAUGGAUAGAUAUUCAGACCACUGACUACUCAUUCUGAACCCAGAAGUCCAGAAAGUUUCUGAGGUUUUCUAGAUUGCAUCAUGUAUAAUAUCAAAUCCUCAUACAUAACAAAACCCAAACCAUCUGACUAUAAAGUCUAUGGUUCUCAAUAAUGUUAAGAAGUCUUAUUCUACCUGUGGGAAUCAAGAUUAUUGUCCCUACUUCUCUUUAUCCUAUAAUAAAAUGAUAUGUUCUUGUCCUUGGCCCUGGGAAUUUGAAGUGCAUUCUACUGUGGCAAGAUUGUAUUUUGCAUCCUUCUAAUGUAGGCCUGGCCAUCUUACCUCUUUGGGCCAAUGGAAUGUGGGUGGAGUUGACAGUGUGUUUGUUCUAAGCCAAGGUCUUCAGGGGCAUUGCAUGUCCUGCACCCGCCUCCCUUUCAUCACCAUGAGAAAAAAAUGCUAUAGGAAGGUGCAGCCACUUCAGCCUGGGCCUAGAAAGGAGACACGAGGAGCAUACCUGAAUCCAACUAAAAGUCUCGGUUCAGCCUGGCCCUCCUAUGUCCAGAUGCCUUGCAGACCUGUGUGGAGAUAUGUCAAUGUUGGUUGUAUAAGUCACUAAUAUGCUGCUUCACAGGCUUAGAUUUCAAAAUUUACUUAGUAUAAAUCCUAAAGAUCAAAUGACAUUACAAAUGGCAUCAUUGUCCUGACGUACUCCAAAUGUUCUUUCAGAAUAAACUGCCUCAGAGCUUCCAGAUAAAAAAUGUAAGUCCUAGAUUAAGUUAUUUUUAAUGUCACUUAAAAUAUCUCACCUCAUUUUUUUCACUAUGAUGAAUAUAUGAGCCAUUACUGGACUGUCAAAUUAAAAAUAGCAAACCAAUUUGCAUGAAAAAAUAGCCUACCAUAGAGCCAUUGUAAAGAAAAACCCAGAACUUUGGGACAACCCAAUUCUUUGCCUUCUGUAUACCUGCACCUGAGCAGCUGAAUGUGGAGGGAGGAAACUGGUAGAGAAAAUCCACUCUGCUGGCUGGUGUACGUAAGAUUUAUUUUAACACAGUCAGUCCCACCCCACUUUUAUGGUAAGUUACUUUGUUAGUUUGUGCUCGCAUUGUUAUAAAGAAACACUGGAGACUGAGUAAUUUAUGAGAAAAGAGGUUUAAUUGGCUCAUGGUUCUGCAGACUGUACAAGAAGCAUGGCAGCAUCUGCUUCUGGGGAGGCUUCAGGGAGCUUUUACUCAUGGUGGGAGGCAAAGUGGGAGCAGGCACCUCCCAGGGCAAAAGCAGGAGCAAGAGAGUGAAGGAGGGAGUGCUGUACACUUUUAAAUGACCAGAUCUCAUGAGAACUCACUCACUAUGGUGAGGACAAUGGUAUCAAGAGGGAUGGUGCUAAACCAGUCAUUAGAAAUCCGCCCCCAUGCUCCAAUUACCCGCCACCAUGCCCCACCUCCAACACUGGGGAUUAGAUUUCAAUAUGAAAUUUGGACAGGGACACACAUUCAAACUAUAUCAGUUAUCUUUUUCUUUCACCAAGAGGGACCAUUUCACAUAUUCUCCUCUCCCCUCAGACCUCCAACACCUUCUCCUCUGGGCCUCACUCUUAGCUGAUGAUCUUGCUUCUUAGUUUACUGAGAAAAUAGAGGCAAUCAGGAGAGGUUUACCUUAUCUUCUACCUCCAACUCCAUCUGGCUGUGUAUCUAGAUGGUGUUGUCAUUCAAAUGGUCCCAGUCCCUGGGCCUAUAUGGGACAGCCUCUCGGCACUGAAUCUUUGAAGCCCAUCCUGGGCUGCCUCCUUGAGAACUUCCCUUCUGCAAUCGUGCUCUCUCCUUUCUGCAGCAUCAAUUUUCACCUCUUUGAGGGAUCAUUCCCAUCAGCAUACAAUGUAUGGUGUCUCUCCCAAGUUCUUCCCAAGUUAUUGCUGUUCUUUAUCACCAAACCAGUAAAAUAGCCUGUGUUUGCUGUUUCCAUGUCUUCACCUUCCAUUUUCUCUCUAACUCAUUCCAGUUAGGAUGUCAUCCUCAUGGCUUCAAGAAGCAAUUCUCAUCAGGGUCACUAGAGACCUCUAUGCUGCCAAAUAUCUUGGGUAAUACUCCUUUUUCUUUGAAAUACUCUCUUCACUUAAUUUCCCAUUCAUCAUCCUCUGCCAGUUUCUUCCUUUUAUUGGAGUCAUCUUCUGCAUUUCCUCUGCUUGCUGUAUCUGAUUUCCUGACCUUCUAAAUGUUGGAGUGCUAUAGAGACAAUGUCCUUGACUCUCUUUGGCUAUCUAUCAUACCCUUUUCUAGGUUAUUUUAACCAGCCCUAAGGUAUCUAUUUUCAGACAAAUCCCAAAUUUAUAUCUCCUCUAAGCUCCAAACUCACCUUUCCAUUUGUAUGUCAAAUAAACAUCUCAAACCAGACAUGUUCAAAACCAAACUCUUACCUUCCAUACCUGCUUCUUCCUCACUUUUUCCAAACUCAGUAAUGGUAACUGCAUUUGACCAGUAGCUCAGGCCAAAAUCUAGGUGUCAUGCUGAUAUUGUUCUUUCCUUCUCUCCCCAUGUGAAUCAGCAAAACCCACUGGCUCUAUCGUCAAACUAUCUGAAAUCUGACGAGUUCUCACUCUUCACACCUGUGCCCUUUUGGCUUCCUUUUGGAUUCUGUCAUGAUUGGCACCAGCACAGAUGGGAACAGGGAAAGGCCAGGCAUUUCUUCCCCCACUCCCUCUUUGAUUCAGGCCUGCAUCUGUAGAAGUCGCCACAUUCCUGCAACUCCAGAUGACCCUUGUCCAUGGCCCCAGCUGGCACUGGGCUCUCCUGUUCCAUUCUGUCUUUGCUCCUUCAGCUCUUGGAAUAGUACUGCCUUUUCUCUUUUGCUUUGCAUCCCAUUUAUGCCUCUGUAAACUUCAAAUGAAAUCUCUUCAUUUGUUAUAUCUGAGGGUGAAGCUCUUUUCUGCUGGGACCCUGAUAGACACACUGCUCUAUCUAAAAUAUCAUUCCUCUUCACUCCUCCUUCUCCCUUUAACUAUUUUUUCUUAGUAUUUACUAUUAACUAAAAUGUUUUAUCUGUUGUUUUGUCUUUGCUUUUCGUUUUUUUGUCCUCCCUCUCCUCUUCCUCAAAAGCUAUGCUUUCUGAGGGCUUUUAUUUUUAUUUCCACAUCUUCAUCCCUGGCUCCUAGAAGAACACCUGGUAGAGUUUCAUGUAAAUAUGUUUCUGUGAAAGUUGGUUAUGAAGUGUCAUGCAAUCUGGUGUCAUUACAUUAAGGGGAAAUGAAAAAGUGAGUUGAAUAUUAUGGCAUGGUUAUGUCUUUUUAAAAAAACCUCCCUAUCCAUAUAUAAUAUUGAGUAGUAUGAAAGAAGCAUAUACCCCCCAAAUAUUAACAGGGGUUACUUUCCUGGGAGUGGAUGGUAGAAUUCAGUGGAUUCAGUUUUCUCCUUUGUGCAUAUGUGCACAAUUUGAUUUUGUAGGAGAAAUAAGACCAUUGGAAACCUCUCUGAAGCUUUUGGAAAAAUUAGAAAAACUCUUCUCCCAACCCUAGUGGAGGCACAGACCUGCUGGGACUAGGAAAGUGGAUUUUAUUUCUCAGUGGUCACCAUUUUGAAAACACCACUGUACAACUUUAUGUGUUGGCUUUGUUUUUUUUUUUUAAUAUCAGAAAAACAUCAUUUAUAUAUGUCUUUCCCCUCAAUAUAUUUUCAAACCCACCUUUUAUGUUUUUUCAAAAAUGUUUUGACAUUACAUAACGAAACCAAAAUUUAUUAAUAGCUCCUUACUACUUUUUCUUGACAAAACAGAGUAUACUCAUGAGCAAGAAAGAAAACGAACAACAAACAAAAAGCUUAUAAAAUGAAGUAGGAAACUCAAUGUUAACAGCUUAACACAGAAAGCCAUUACAACAAUGAACAAAAAUCGCAAGUUAAUGAUGAAGUAACGUAGAAACAAAUUUACAAACUACUAAAAACCUGGAAUUGCCAAUUGUUCAGAAAUUCCACAGAUGGAUCAUGAGUGAUAUUUGACAGAUCCCACUGAAUUUUGAUGACUUGACUUCUGGUCAUGUACCCAACUAGAUGUUUUGGAAAAAGUGAGUCCAAGGGAACUUGAAUGCAGAGAUGCUCAACUAGACCCAAGAAAUUUUCAUGUCUGGAGAGCAGAAUUAAAUGUCAUGGAAUCUGGUAUCAUUACAUAAUAUAGAGAAAUAAGACUUUUGCAUUUCCAUCUGGUGCAGCUUGGUAAACCCCAGAGGUGGCCUCUCCAGGUCAGAGUUGAGACACAAGGUGAAAGGGUUUAAGAGUGGCAUAUGAUUUUCCAUGCUCUUUUCUCUGGACAUGGUGAUUGUGGAAGGAUAUUUUGAUGCAGAUGUCCAUACAACUGAAGUAUGCAGAGAUACCAAGACCUCAUGAAGGACAGCUUCAUUGAACCUCACCUGCCUCAGCACUCUAUGAGUGACAAGUAAACUGUGUGUAACACCACAAAGAUUUUGGGAUUGUUUGUUACCACAGCAUAAAUUAGCCUAUCUUGACCAAUUGAUUCACUUGUAAAUAUUACAUAAUUGUAGUACUUAUACAGUUUCAGGCAUCUUGGCAAUAAAUAUUCAUUAAUGGAUAGAAUUAAGAAUAAAUUUAACAUUCACUUAACAACUGACUAUAAAUUAUGGAAGUAGAUUGACUAGAACAGUUCAGUUCAGUUUGAUUUAUUGACUGAUACUGUGAUAGAUACUGAGAAUACAAAGAUAAAUUAGUUUUUAACCUGGAAGAUUUUGGUUGGAAGAUAAAAUUGGAAAGAUUGGUUACUGUCUGGGUAUGUAGGACAUUGAAUUAUAGACUGAGCCAUUUUACUUCAUCUUGUAGACAGUGGGAGGGAAAAGUAGGUAUCAAUGGAUUUUGAGCAAGGGAGAAGUACUAUUAAAUCGACAUUUUAGAAAAAUUAAUCUGCGAUGGUGAAGGAAAUACAAACAUACACAUUGAGAGGCUAUUUCAGUAAUCUAGGUGUGAGAAGAUAAGGGUCCAGGCUGGGGUGUUGGUGAUUGAAAUGAGAAGGCAUACUCAGAAAUGAGAGAAAUUAGAAAGUAAAAACAGGGCAUUGGAUAUGUGAGGGGUCAUGAGGUGAGAAGGAAGAAUGAUUAAUGAAUGACUCUUAGAUUCUCUGUGACACCACUGGGUGAAGUUUGGAGAAGGUAAGAAGAUGAUGAGAUCUUUUUGUUGUGUGUUCAACUUGAGGAAUGACAGCUCAUUCAUGCAGAAAUGUCCUUAACGGUAGUUUGUGAAGCAGGAUUGGAUGGAGCUUGGUAGAGAAGUUGAAGCCAAAGCUAGAAGAUUAUGGUAUAUUGAUCAUACUGGAAACAGUAAGGGUACAACUAUCUAAAAGGGAGCUUGUAAGAGAGAAAAGGGUAGUAGGGCUUUGAAAGAAAUCCUCAUUUAGGGACAUGAGACUGGAAAGGAAUUAGCAAAGGACACAGGGGAGUAAUCAGUAGGAUAGGUAAUUUUUACUGAGAAUUUACUAUACUAGGAAUUUCACAUGCAUUUUAUUAUCUAAUUUUCACAGCCUCCCCUAGGAGGAAGAGUUAUCCAAUUUAACAUGUGAACAAACUGAGACUGAUAGGAGUUUAAGAAUUUUCACUGAGGUCAAAUAGCGACUACAUGAUGAUGCCAGGUCUGCUUGAAAACAAAAUCUGUGUCCUUAACCAUUGUGAAAACUCAAAUGAUCUAAGUUUUACAUGAACCAGCUUGUUAUUGAGAAGGGGCUAGCCAACAGGGUCAUAUGCGAUAAAUUCAAGAGAAAUUAUGUUUGAGAACAGACCAUUGAUUUGAUGAACAGGAAGUGAUGGUUAUGAGUGGAAGUGAUAGUAGUGAGCAAGAGCCUCACCACAGGGGAUGAGGUAAAGGCAUGAGUGGGUGGUGCUGAAGGAAGGAAUUGGUAGAGACAACAAAUCAAGAAAUGUCAAGGGAAAGGAACAAGAGGAAGAGAUACAUCCUGGGGCAUCUCAGGGUUAAUUUCACAGGUAUAUUUAUUUCCAAGACAGAGACACCAUUUACAGAUAAGAUGAAAGGGCCCAAUGGAGCCAGAGAAUGGAGAUACCACAAAGAUGGUACCAGUGGAGUUGGUAAUUUUUGGGGGAGGAUAGAAAGACUGGGAUCUAAAGUCCAGGGGAAGGGAUCAGCUCUGGAGGGAGAAGAGCAACUAUUUGCUUCAGGACCAGAGGGGAAGACCAGCUGUAUCUUAAACUAGAGAUACUCCGGCAUCUCUUGAAUUUACUGGAUUUGGGGAAGUUCCCUUCACCACAUUGAUACCAGUGAAAGCCAAUUUUAAUUUAGAUUAGCUCAGAAUUAAAUUCCCCAUUUAUUAAAAUACCUAUGUGAAAAUGUGAGCUUGUUCUUUAAACUUAUAGAUAAAAAUAAGUUUUGUAAGAAAAAAAUUGUAGUUCUUUCAAGUUACAUCACUGAGUCCUUAGUACUUUGUUUUAGAAAACCUCUUCACCUGCUGAGCUCAUUUCCAGUGUCUGGUUUGAGUUCUGACCCUAAAACUGCUGUUUAAUAAAAUAAAUACUUUUUGCUCUGGAAGCUUGAAGUCAUUUUUUCUUUUCUUUUUCUUUCUUUUUUUUUUUUUUUUGAGAGUCUUGCUCUGUUGCCCAGGCUGGAGUGCAGUGGUGUGAUCCUGGCUCACUGCACUAUUCACCUCCUGGGUUCAAGCAGUUCUCCUGCCUCAGCGGAAGAGUAGUUGGCACUACAGAUGUGUGCCACCACACCAGCUAAUUUUUGUGUUUUUUUAGUAGAGAUGAGGUUUCGUCAUGUUGGCCAGGUUGGCCUUGAGCUCCUGAUAUCAGGUGAUCCACCCGCCUUGGCCUCCCAGAGUGCUGGGAUUAUAGGCAUGAGCCACCACACCUGGCCUGGCAGCUUUAAGUCUUUAAUAUACACAUCUGAAUUAUUUUUAUAAUAACUUAUUGGUUUCUUAUAUAAAUUCCAAGGCAUAUCUAAUAGUCUGUCAUUGCAAUCUGAAUCAGCUUUUUUUUCUAAGCAAACAAAAUUAAAAGGGCUUUAGGGUUAAUUACAUGAUUAAACAUUUAGCGACUCCCAAAAACUUAGUGAAAUGAAAUGUGUAGAAAUUGUUGACUCAGUAUUCUAAAUAAGUCUACUCUUCAGGAAUGUCCAUGGCUUUGGCAGGAUUCAAGGAACAUGAAGAUUAGGGGAAAUUUUUAAAUGAGAUUUAUAAAGGAACAAGAACACAAUGAUAUAAAACAUAAGAAAGGAAAAAAAAUAAGAAAUCUAGUAUUUUUGUCAGAAGCAAGUUUUCUCAUGAAAAUAAAAAAUAUAUAAUUUAAUUUGCAUUUUUGGGGGGUCAACUCUGGUUUAUUUUGUUGGUUUUGUUUAUUUAUGUGCUUGAAAGAUUUGGCUGCUGGGUCCUUGUAAGUCUUGGGGAACUCUGAGCUUCAUUCCUCUUGACUUGCCAAGUGGUGUAGGGAAAGUUGCUUCAUCUUUUAUAUUUAUAUUUUUGAAAGUAUUUGUGAGUUAUAUGAAAAGCUGAACAGUACUUCACAUUAUAGAACAGCUGGAGUAAACUGAGUGGGGCCGAGGAGACAGAUUGUGCCACUCACUUUCCAUGGGACUCUGUUGGGCUCACUGGGUAGUUAGUUCUGUGGUUCAGGGUUGGCUUCACCAGCUUCACUUGUGGCUUUGGGACACUACUUUUUCUCCACACUCUCUUCCUCCCCCAGCUUCUUUGCUGACUCCUCUUCCUUGAUCCAGCUCUGAAAUGCAAAGAUUCUCUGAAGGUCUAUCUCCAUACCCUUCUCUUCUAUCAUUACCCAUGUGCUAGUCCAAUCUUUUUCACUCCCAACGUUCCUGCCAUGUUUCCACAUACCAGUCAGACGUUUGUGCCUGUGUGCCCCAUAGGUACUUUAAACCCAACACCUCCAAAAUUUAGCAUGUCUUCCAGUUCCUUUAUCAGAAUGCUCCCCUUUCUGGACUCUGUGUUGAUUAAGAGCAUUGCUGGCCGGGUGCAGUGGCUCACGCCUGUAAUCCCAGCACUUUGGGAGGCCGAGGCGGGUAGAUCACGAGGUCAGGAGUUGGAGUCCAGUCUGGCCAACAUAGUGAAACUGCGUCUCUACUAAAAAUACAAAAAUGUAGCCAGGUAUAGUGGUGUGCGCCUGUAAUCCCAGCUACUGGAGAGGUUGAGGCAAGAGAAUCACGUGAACUCGAGAGGCGGAGGUUGCAGUGAGCUGAGAAAAUGCCACUGCACUCCAGCCCGAGCGAUAU
Callithrix jacchus (white-tufted-ear marmoset) is the source of this 11540-nucleotide long non-coding RNA. RefSeq lists it as uncharacterized. Lineage: Eukaryota; Metazoa; Chordata; Mammalia; Primates; Cebidae. The record is from RefSeq and is a predicted model, not a curated record.